AUUUCUUUGUAUAUGUAAUCAGCAUCAAUAAAAACUCUGUUCUUAUCAGCUUAAUAUCUGAUACGAGUCCUAUUUGGACUCAAGAUAUUAAACUAAUUUUUGCCACUUGGCGCCGUGAAGGGGCUUGCUCCUCCGGCGCCGCGGGUUGUCCCGGCGUUGCACUGCUGCCGGGUUCGGCCCAAGACCC
This 187-nucleotide small nuclear RNA is filed under the name Haemaphysalis longicornis (longhorned tick). RNAcentral describes it as "U2 spliceosomal RNA". It matches the Rfam family "U2 spliceosomal RNA". From Rfam's summary of the family: U2 is a small nuclear RNA (snRNA) component of the spliceosome (involved in pre-mRNA splicing). Complementary binding between U2 snRNA (in an area lying towards the 5' end but 3' to hairpin I) and the branchpoint sequence (BPS) of the intron results the bulging out of an unpaired adenosine, on the BPS, which initiates a nucleophilic attack at the intronic 5' splice site, thus starting the first of two transesterification reactions that mediate splicing. Lineage: Eukaryota; Metazoa; Arthropoda; Arachnida; Ixodida; Ixodidae. The record is from Rfam by way of RNAcentral.